AUGAACGCUGGCGGCGUGCCUCAUCCAUGCAAGUCGCGCGAACGGACGAGAAGCUUGCUUCUCUGAUGUUAGCGGCGGACGGGUGAGUAACACGUGGAUAACCUACCUAUAAGACUGGGAUAACUUCGGGAAACCGGAGCUAAUACCGGAUAAUAUUUUGAACCGCAUGGUUCAAAAGUGAAAGACGGUCUUGCUGUCACCUAUAGAUGGAUCCGCGCUGCAUUAGCUAGUUGGUAAGGUAACGGCUUACCAAGGCAACGAUGCAUAGCCGACCUGAGAGGGUGAUCGGCCACACUGGACCUGAGCCACGGUCCAGACUCCUACGGGAGGCAGCAGUAGGGAAUCUUCCGCAAUGGGCGAAAGCCUGACGGAGCAACGCCGCGUGAGUGAUGAAGGUCUUCGGAUCGUAAAACUCUGUUAUUAGGGAAGAACAUAUGUGUAAGUAACUGUGCACAUCUUGACGGUACCUAAUCAGAAAGCCACGGCUAACUACGUG
RNAcentral lists this ribosomal RNA (496 nucleotides) under uncultured bacterium. RNAcentral's name for it is "partial 16S ribosomal RNA". It matches the Rfam family "Bacterial small subunit ribosomal RNA", at positions 29 to 507 of the family's 1533-position model. The record is from RNAcentral.